AGUGAACGCUGGCGGUAGGCCUAACACAUGCAAGUCGAACGGCAGCACAGAGGAGCUUGCUCCUUGGGUGGCGAGUGGCGGACGGGUGAGGAAUACAUCGGAAUCUACCUUGUCGUGGGGGAUAACCUCGGGAAACCGGGACUAAUACCGCAUACGACCUUCGGGUGAAAGUAGGGGAUCGCAAGACCUUACGCGAAUAG
RNAcentral lists this ribosomal RNA (200 nucleotides) under uncultured bacterium. RNAcentral describes it as "partial 16S ribosomal RNA". It matches the Rfam family "Bacterial small subunit ribosomal RNA", at positions 29 to 224 of the family's 1533-position model. The record is from RNAcentral.